GUGGGGAAUAUUGCACAAUGGGCGAAAGCCUGAUGCAGCAACGCCGCGUGAGGGACGACGGCCUUCGGGUUGUAAACCUCUUUUAGUAGGGAAGAAGCGAAAGUGACGGUACCUGCAGAAAAAGCACCGGCUAACUACGUGCCAGCAGCCGCGGUAAUACGUAGGGUGCAAGCGUUAUCCGGAAUUAUUGGGCGUAAAGAGCUCGUAGGCGGUCUGUCGCGUCUGCUGUGAAAACUGGAGGCUCAACCUCCAGCCUGCAGUGGGUACGGGCAGACUAGAGGGCGGUAGGGGAGAUUGGAAUUCCUGGUGUAGCGGUGGAAUGCGCAGAUAUCAGGAGGAACACCGAUGGCGAAGGCAGAUCUCUGGGCCGUAACUGACGCUGAGGAGCGAAAGCGUGGGGAGCGAACAGGAUUAGAAACCCCUGUAGUCC
Molecule: ribosomal RNA, 430 nt
Filed under: uncultured bacterium
Lineage: Bacteria
Description: bacterial SSU rRNA
Rfam family: Bacterial small subunit ribosomal RNA
Source: RNAcentral